This is a non-coding RNA of Lupinus albus (white lupine), 363 nucleotides long. Lineage: Eukaryota; Viridiplantae; Streptophyta; Magnoliopsida; Fabales; Fabaceae. The record is from the annotation of a GenBank genome assembly.
GCCCAGUACCCCGCCAGUUCCGAAAGGUUAAAGAUGACGCGCUUGACGGAAAGACCGGGUGCCGGAAUGAAUUGGUCAAAACAAAAUGGUCUUGCAAACCGGUGGGGAUUUGACGGUUCUGCCCGAAGUUGCCCUGUCGUAACGUCAGAAUGCCGCAUCGCAUGGAGAUCUGAUCAGAGACUAUCCUGGAUGCAUUUUCACAACAGCAAUAAGUAGCAAGGGCCCUUUUCAUCGACCUUGUCGACCAAUCAUACACAAGAUUUAGGGCCUCUCUUAAAUACCAUGCUUGUAGGGCCGCCACGUGAAGCUCCUCGGAUGGUAUUUCAACGGAUAAUGCGGAUAGAGUGGAUGGACGCCUAGCCG